Molecule: ribosomal RNA, 301 nt
Filed under: uncultured bacterium
Lineage: Bacteria
Description: partial 16S ribosomal RNA
Rfam family: Bacterial small subunit ribosomal RNA
Source: RNAcentral
CAGUAGCCGCGGUAAUACAGAGGAUGCAAGCGUUAUCCGGAAUGAUUGGGCGUAAAGCGUCUGUAGGUGGCUUUUCAAGUCCGCCGUCAAAUCCCAGGGCUCAAUCCUGGACAGGCGGUGGAAACUACCGAGCUGGAGUACGGUAGGGGCAGAGGGAAUUUCCGGUGGAGCGGUGAAAUGCGUUGAGAUCGGAAAGAACACCAACGGCGAAAGCACUCUCUGGGCCGACACCGACACUGAGAGACGAAAGCUAGGGGAGCAAAUGGGAUUAGAUACCCCCGUAGUCCCUGUCUCUUAUACA